Molecule: transfer RNA, 72 nt
Filed under: Phaethornis hispidus
Lineage: Eukaryota; Metazoa; Chordata; Aves; Apodiformes; Trochilidae
Description: tRNA-Tyr
Rfam family: tRNA
About the family: Transfer RNA (tRNA) molecules are approximately 80 nucleotides in length.
Source: RNAcentral
GGUAAGAUGGCCGAGUGUCGUAGGCGUUAGGCUGUAGUCCUUUUAACAGAGGUUUAAUUCCUCUUCUUAUCG